AGGGAAUAUUGCACAAUGGGGGAAACCCUGAUGCAGCGACGCCGCGUGAGUGAUGAAGGCCUUCGGGUCGUAAAGCUCUGUCGUAUGGGACUAACACAAUGAAGGUACCAUGCAAGAAAGGAUCGGCUAACUUCGUGCCAGCAGCCGCGGUAAGACGAGGGAUCCUAGCGUUGUUCGGAAUUAUUGGGCGUAAAGCGGGUGUAGGCGGAUCUGUAAGUCAGGUGUGAAAUCCCAGGGCUCAACCCUGGAAGUGCACUUGAUACUGCUGAUCUUGAGUGUGGUAGAGGUUACUGGAAUUCCUGGUGUAGUGGUAAAAUACGUAGAUAUCAGGAGGAAUACCGGAGGCGAAGGCGAGUAACUGGGCCAACACUGACGCUGAGACCCGAAAGCGUGGGGAUCAAAC
RNAcentral lists this ribosomal RNA (403 nucleotides) under uncultured bacterium. RNAcentral describes it as "bacterial SSU rRNA". It matches the Rfam family "Bacterial small subunit ribosomal RNA", at positions 356 to 773 of the family's 1533-position model. The record is from RNAcentral.